Molecule: ribosomal RNA, 253 nt
Filed under: uncultured bacterium
Lineage: Bacteria
Description: partial 16S ribosomal RNA
Rfam family: Bacterial small subunit ribosomal RNA
Source: RNAcentral
UACGUAGGUGGCAAGCGUUAUCCGGAUUUACUGGGUGUAAAGGGCGUGUAGGCGGGAGUGCAAGUCAGAUGUGAAAACCACGGGCUCAACCUGUGGCCUGCAUUUGAAACUGUACUUCUUGAGUACUGGAGAGGCAGACGGAAUUCCUAGUGUAGCGGUGAAAUGCGUAGAUAUUAGGAGGAACACCAGUGGCGAAGGCGGCUUUCUGGACUGAAACUGACGCUGAGGCACGAAAGCGUGGGGAGCGAACAGG